CCUCAUAUCAUUAGUUGCUUAAGCAGCUAGCUUAACUACUUUGUGAUACUGGGAAAUUGGGAAAUUAAAAACUUUCUUUUUCUGCUCCUCAGUUGAGCAUAGGAAGCAAGCAAAAGGUGUUUUUUUAAAGCCAAUUAAGGCAGCUCUAUACUUCUUAGAGAACAAUUUUUUAAAUUGAAAGCUGUCUCCCGAAAGUAAAAGGAGUUAAAAAGGAGACAGAGGGAGGAUUUUUUUCCCCUUUUCUUUUCUUAAAGGAGGUUGACCAAAUAAGGUUGUGUUGUGAAACUGUAACAAUGCAAAUGCGGUCUUUCCAAUAACAUUUUUGUGGUGUGCUGAAACACUGCAAGGAGACUUUGAGAAACAAGUCAGAGUUGCCAGGAAACAGGGUAAAUGUUGUCCAGCAACAAAUUCUAUAAAGUGGCAAAACAGUCUAGAGGUUUCCCCUUUUAAAGUUGUGCAUCUAAGUGGUAAUGUGUGAAUGAUAUAACCAGAGGUUUGAGAAGACAGGCCCUGUGCAAGGAGUCACAUCAGAGAGAUGGGAUCAGAUACAAUUCCCCGACAGCCCAAGUUUACACACCACCAGCUGUGGAAGGUAAAGCGCCAGGCCCACCACUGAGCCCCCAACCCAUUGUGCCCAGUGCUACCAAAGAAACAGAUGGAGUGGUGGCAUCCCCUAAUGUAUCAUAUUUAAUUUUGGAAAGGUGUUUGUUAAAAGACAUGUGCUUAAAGAACUGACUUGAGGCAUCAACCAACUAAUCAGCAGCACUACAUUUUGUUUUAACUUGAUACAGAUUAAACUGGAAAGACCACACCAUGACUGACACCUUCUAAAAACUAAUGUACAUCUAUUGUUUAUCACACAUGAUUUUAUAAAUUUAAUAAAAUUUAAG
Molecule: long non-coding RNA, 890 nt
Filed under: Pogona vitticeps (central bearded dragon)
Lineage: Eukaryota; Metazoa; Chordata; Lepidosauria; Squamata; Agamidae
Description: lncRNA (ENSPVIG00000019736.1)
Source: RNAcentral